This 465-nucleotide ribosomal RNA is filed under the name Vreelandella stevensii. RNAcentral's name for it is "partial 16S ribosomal RNA". It matches the Rfam family "Bacterial small subunit ribosomal RNA", at positions 338 to 795 of the family's 1533-position model. The record is from RNAcentral. Lineage: Bacteria; Pseudomonadati; Pseudomonadota; Gammaproteobacteria; Oceanospirillales; Halomonadaceae.
CCUACGGGUGGCAGCAGUGGGGAAUAUUGGACAAUGGGGGGAACCCUGAUCCAGCCAUGCCGCGUGUGUGAAGAAGGCCCUCGGGUUGUAAAGCACUUUCAGUGAGGAAGAACGCCUGGUGGUUAAUACCCAUCAGGAAAGACAUCACUCACAGAAGAAGCACCGGCCAACUCCGUGCCAGCAGCCGCGGUAAUACGGAGGGUGCGAGCGUUAAUCGGAAUUACUGGGCGUAAAGCGCGCGUAGGUGGCUUGAUAAGCCGGUUGUGAAAGCCCCGGGCUCAACCUGGGAACGGCAUCCGGAACUGUCAAGCUAGAGUGCAGGAGAGGAAGGUAGAAUUCCCGGUGUAGCGGUGAAAUGCGUAGAGAUCGGGAGGAAUACCAGUGGCGAAGGCGGCCUUCUGGACUGACACUGACACUGAGGUGCGAAAGCGUGGGUAGCAAACAGGAUUAGAUACCCCAGUAGUC